Molecule: ribosomal RNA, 253 nt
Filed under: uncultured bacterium
Lineage: Bacteria
Description: partial 16S ribosomal RNA
Rfam family: Bacterial small subunit ribosomal RNA
Source: RNAcentral
UACGUAGGGGGCAAGCGUUAUCCGGAAUUACUGGGUGUAAAGGGUGAGUAGGCGGCAUGGUAAGCCAGAUGUGAAAGCCUUGGGCUUAACCCGAGAAUUGCAUUUGGAACUAUCAAGCUAGAGUACAGGAGAGGAAAGCGGAAUUCCUAGUGUAGCGGUGAAAUGCGUAGAUAUUAGGAAGAACACCAGUGGCGAAGGCGGCUUUCUGGACUGAAACUGACGCUGAGGCACGAAAGCGUGGGGAGCGAACAGG